Molecule: long non-coding RNA, 4873 nt
Filed under: Brassica napus (rape)
Lineage: Eukaryota; Viridiplantae; Streptophyta; Magnoliopsida; Brassicales; Brassicaceae
Description: long non-coding RNA (BNAP_LNC002065)
Source: RNAcentral
UGCACUAGUAUAUAUAAAAUGCUUGGUUAAAAAUGUUAAAUAUCAAUAUAAAUGAGAAAUGGAUAUAAGUCUUGAAUAUAUACAGGCACUUGAAGGGGGAAGAUAUACAGUCUCUCAACUUAAAAAACCUGAUGGCCGUAGAGCAUGCCAUUGAACAUGGCCUCGACAAAGUCCGAGACCACCAGGCAUGAAUAAUAUAUCUGUACAUUCAUUCAUACAUCUCUUCGUACAUUCAUAUUCAACAACUCUUGUAUGGUCUGUUUGUCUCAGAUGGAGUACCUCAUGACGAAAAGGAGAAAUGUGACCAUAUAAACAAAUUUCUAUACCUUACUAUUUAGCCUUCAGAUUGAUUAUUAAUUAGUGCUUACAGUUACAUCAAACAUUUUCUGUGGCAGGAAAAAAUGUUGGCGGAGGAGAAUCGGCAACUCAGUUUCCAGCUGGUACAUUUAAAGUCAUAUAUCCUUGAAGCCUUUAGCGUUAUUGAUUUGGUUUAAUAAUAUAUAUAUUAGUAUGUUUGUUGGGUUUGAUAUAUGCAGCAACAACAGGAGAUGGCUAUAGCUAGCAAUGCAAGAGGUAUGAUGAUGAGGGAUCAUGAUGGACAAUUUGGAUACAGAGUCCAGCCGAUUCAGCCAAAUCUUCAGGAAAAGAUUAUGUCGUUGGUCAUCGAUUGAUCAUUAGAGAUUUGAUGCAAUCUCAUUACCAAUCUACUAUCUAAUUCGUGGCUCUUUGUCUUUAUGAAUGUGUGUGUCUCUAUCAGACUUUUAUUUAGCUUACAUGUGUGUUGUUUGCUUAUGAAACCUCUAUGUAUUGGUUGUGUUGUAUGCCAAACUAAACGUUUGAAACUAUUUAAUUAUUGCAUGUGUGUGAAAACUAAUUAUUCUUUACUAAGCAAUACGUGAUUCGGGAGGUUUCUUUUUGAAAAGUUAUAAUUGGCCUCCGUGCUAGAAUUUUUUUGGAUCACAUUCAAGUUGUAUAAUGUUAUUAGGACUUAGGACAAGAUGCCUUGAGAGUGAUCAAACACAAGCCUUUAGUUCAAAAAAGAGUGAUCAAAAACAAUUUAUUAAACCGAAAAAGACUCAAAACUAUAUUUUAAAUGUAAUAUUAUUACAUGUAAACUGUUCUGUUCACGUUUGUGUCGUAUACAAUAUUUAUUCCCUAAAGUUUCUUUUAAAAACAGAGUUGUGUAGAAUCAAUCACACAUGCACCCUCAUGUUUAGCCUUCUCAACCAAACGGAGUGAAGAAUCAUUCGAAGCAUGUCAAACGGUUGGGACGGCCUAUUGAUAACGAAAUGUCUCUGGACCUGCAAAACUCUUCUUUGCAACACCUUGUAGCGUCUCAACGACACGCUCUUUAGUAUCGUUUUGAUCUCUGGGAUCUUCUCAGAGGGGACAUGAAUGGUGAACUUACUCCAAUCAAGAACGUCUGAGAAGGGCAAGGCGUAGUGAUCAGAGAUGAUGACAGGGACACAACCUAAGCUAAUGGCUGCUACGACUCGAGGGCUAGCCACUUCGUAGCCACUAGGACAGAGACAGAACCUUGCCUUGGCCAUGAGCUUGAAGUAGUCUUCCUUUCUUGGUAAGUACUCAUGGACUUGGACCUCAUCGUCUUUGUCUUUCCAAUGCUGCAGUAGAAUCUUGCGGAUAUUGCCGUGUACGCGGCCUGCAAAGAAAGCAAGGAUGGGUCGGUCAUGGCCGGAAGAAUUGGAUAACCUAGGUGGGCCCAGUUGGCCCAGGGGGAUGUUGAUCUCCGGGAUUGAGACAUCUCGUUGGGGCAUGAAACCUUCCGAUGUGUUGGCGUUGCAGAGAACUCUUAUCAUGUUUUUCAGCAGCUCCGGAUCCGAUCCCGAAACCUCUGGUGCCUGUAAGACGUUUUAUAAAUGUUGCGUGUUAGACACGAUAAGUAGGACCGGCUCAAAGUUUUUUAGACAACUUUGGACAGGAUUUUUUACAAGUUUUUAAUAACAAAAAAAUAUUCUACAACAACAAAUUAGUCUGAGUUUCUCAAACAAAAAAUAAAAACAAAUUAGUAUGAGUUUUCUCAAAGAAAAGCAAAUUAGUAUAAGUGAAUUAUUUAAUACUAUACGAUACUGUAAACAAUAAAGGUAGUUAAUUUUUUUAAAAUAAUAUAUUUAACUUUUUAAUAAAAAUGUUUUUAAAAAAAAUAAAUCAUUUUUUGACACUGAAAAAUUAAUUAAUUUUUUUUGAACUUUGGAAGCAUAAACUAUUAUUACAUAGAGGGUGAAAGCAUGGCCGGCUCAAAGUUUUUUAGGCACUUUAGGCAAAAAAAAAUUUAAAAGUUUUUAAUAGCAAAAAAAAAUAUUCUACAACAACAAAUUAGUAGUUUCUCACAAAAAAAAAACAAAUUAGUAUAAGUUUUCUCAAAAGAAAAGCAAAUUAGUACAAAUGUCUCUAAAAUUAUUUAAUAUAUGAUACUGUAAACAAUAAAGUUUGGUUAAUUUUUUUUUAAAAAAAAUAAGUUUUUAAUAAAAAAAAACUUUAAAAAAAUUAUAUCAUUUUUAACACUGAGAAAAAUAACUUUAUGAAGAAAACGAACCCAAUCAUGGCAAGAAACGAAGAAAUGGUCGGCUCCGAGGCUUCUAUUCCAAUAAGGAUACUUGUGAGUCACGACACUGACGUAGUCAAGAAACACUUUAUGAAGUUGUUCUCUUGAGUAGGUCACGAGCGGGUGGUAUAGGUACUCAACGACGUUGGCGACGCUAACCGGGAGGAAGAAGGUGUGAGCCUCGUCAGGGUGACUAGCCGCGAAUGGGCUCAUCCCUCUUUCCAUCUCGUCCACGAAUUGGCCUUCGAUGCUGUAUAUGUUGUUCAUUGGACCUAUAUGUACUAACGGUGUCUCUCCUUCUUUGUACACCCACACUUUGAAUCUCUUUUCCAUCUCUAUAUGGCUUCUGAGCAGUUCCAUAAAGAAAGUGUUAGUUGGCUUGGUUGAAUUAGUUCAUAGGAAAUACUAUAAUUUGAUUCUUAAAGUAUUUAUUUGCGGUCUUAAUUAAUAUUUGAAAUUAGCAUUCCAUCAAAAAAAAUUAUGUACUUAAGAGUAAUUAAUUAUAUUUUAUUAAAGAAAAUAAAACGGGAAUAAUUUGACUUAGCAACGUGCAAAGAAACCUGAUUUAAAAGUCAAUAAGAAAAGUAUUAGGUUGCAAUUCGAAGGUAUUAGGUAACCGAGACAUGUGAGACUACAAAUACCAAAGCAAGCUUUAAGUAUGCGCUACGUUUCGUGAAUACUAAUUUUUCCAUUGCUAAGUUGACUCUAUGCUACACAAGUAAAUACAAUCAUAGAAUAAGACUAACCAUUUAUCAAUCAACUGAAUGAAGUUUGCAUACAUUUUCGAAGUUUAUGCAAUGUUUAUGGAUUUUACGUAAUUAUUUCGAAAUUUAUUUAAAUGCAAUAGUUUAUACGUAAUUAUUAAUGGAGGUAUAAUAUGCAUCAAAGUUUGGGAGAAUUUUCAUUUUCGUAUUCGAUUUUUUAGUUUCUAUUACCUUCAUUUUGUGUGUGUGCUAAUAUAAGAAACCAAAUCAAAGGAAAAGUAUAUUAAUACUUGCCUGCAUUAGUAUUAAUUACUACUUAAUUAAUUAGGUAAAUCAGUCUCCAGUUUAACGAGAUGCAGAGAUCAAAGAGACGAGGAAGAAUUAAAACUAGACCCGAUCGCUCGUUUCCCAAAGCAAACGAGUUGGUAAACCAAGAAAAUCAAAUUUGUACGGACUUCCAUUAAAAAAUUUACUCGAAAGAGUCAAAUACAUCUAUAUACAUAUGUAUAUUAAUUAGUAUAUAUAUAUAUGAAUAUCUAAUGGGAUAUUUUUGUAGAAUUUGAAUACAUCAUAAGACUUUACAAAUUGUAUGUAAUGCAUAUCAAAUGAAAAGUCAUUUUCAAUGAAAAUUCAAAUGAGAAAGAAUUAAGGAGGGAUUAAAGGGUUACUAAUUAUAUGAAAAUUGAUACUCCUAUUGUACACUUACGAAACCUAGGAAUUUAUAAGAAACGAGUAAGACGACAGUUAAAUAAAACUGAUAAUGUAAAAAAUGUCAUAUCUUUAGCUUAAAGUUUAUUUUCUUUGAAAACUAUACAUAGAAUUUUUUUUUUUCAAUUGCUAAUAUAUAUAGUUCAAUACUUAAUUAUUUUACUUUAUAGUUUAAUUGGUCAACUCUUAUUAAUUAGUUACUAGUUUCAAUUUUUUUUUAAAUAAGAGAAAAUGGUGGAAAAUGAAACUAUUUUUUUUUUAUCAAUGGAAAAUGAAACUCUAAAAAGUGAGAAAGAGCGAGAAAAAAUAAGAAAAGAAAUGUAGAAAAAGGAAAGAAAUUUACUGGUGAAAUGCAUAAGCGUUUCUGUAAACGGUUCCACGAGGAACAAAAGUUUUUUCUUUCUCAAAUGCAUACUUCUUCGACGUCAUGGCUUCACGUAUUGCCGCUCUUGAUUUCGCUAAACCUUUCUCAAUUCUAUUCCUCUUCUUUUCUUUCUUUUUAUCGCAAAAAAUUACACAUUUAGAAACGAAUCCAUAGAUAACUGAAUAAAAUCAUUUGGAUUAGUAAAAAACUGAUAACAAACCUUUUGAGCACCCGGAGUUAAUGUGACGUUUGAUGAAAGAAUGCUAAACUCCAUGGACAUGGACGGUGAAGGAGACGGUGCGAGAGAUGUAGCAUGGAAAAUGUUAAAUAUCAAUAUAAAUGAGAAAUGGAUAUAAAUCUUGAAUAUAUACAGGCACUUGAAGGGGGAAGAUAUACAGUCUCUCAACUUAAAAAACCUGAUGGCCGUAGAGCAUGCCAUUGAACAUGGCCUCGACAAAGUCCGAGACCACCAGGCAUGAAUAAUAUAUCUGUACAUUCAUUCAUACAUCUCUUCGUACAUUCAUAUUCAUCAAC